GUGACUGCGUACCUUUUGUAUAAUGGGUCAGCGACUUAUAUUCUGUAGCAAGGUUAACCGUAUAGGGGAGCCGGAGGGAAACCGAGUCUUAACCGGGCGUUAAGUUGCAGGGUAUAGACCCGAAACCCGGUGAUCUAGCCAUGGGCAGGUUGAAGGUUGGGUAACACUAACUGGAGGACCGAACCGACUAAUGUUGAAAAAUUAGCGGAUGACCUGUGGCUGGGGGUGAAAGGCCAAUCAAACCGGGAGAUAGCUGGUUCUCCCCGAAAGCUAUUUAGGUAGCGCCUCGUGAAUUCAUCUCCGGGGGUAGAGCACUGUUUCGGCUAGGGGGCCAUCCCGGCUUACCAACCCGAUGCAAACUGCGAAUACCGGAGAAUGUUAUCACGGGAGACACACGGCGGGUGCUAACGUCCGUCGUGAAGAGGGAAACAACCCAGACCGCCAGCUAAGGUCCCAAAGUCAUGGUUAAGUGGGAAACGAUGUGGGAAGGCCCAGACAGCCAGGAUGUUGGCUUAGAAGCAGCCAUCAUU
RNAcentral lists this ribosomal RNA (530 nucleotides) under Salmonella enterica. Its description in RNAcentral is "partial 23S ribosomal RNA". It matches the Rfam family "Bacterial large subunit ribosomal RNA", at positions 593 to 1123 of the family's 2925-position model. Lineage: Bacteria; Pseudomonadati; Pseudomonadota; Gammaproteobacteria; Enterobacterales; Enterobacteriaceae. The record is from RNAcentral.